This 1520-nucleotide ribosomal RNA is filed under the name Enterococcus casseliflavus. Its description in RNAcentral is "bacterial SSU rRNA". It matches the Rfam family "Bacterial small subunit ribosomal RNA". The record is from RNAcentral. RNAcentral also lists the same sequence under 5 other names. Lineage: Bacteria; Bacillati; Bacillota; Bacilli; Lactobacillales; Enterococcaceae.
AGAGUUUGAUCAUGGCUCAGAUUGAACGCUGGCGGCAGGCCUAACACAUGCAAGUCGAGCGGUAGCACAGAGAGCUUGCUCUCGGGUGACGAGCGGCGGACGGGUGAGUAAUGUCUGGGAAACUGCCUGAUGGAGGGGGAUAACUACUGGAAACGGUAGCUAAUACCGCAUAACGUCGCAAGACCAAAGUGGGGGACCUUCGGGCCUCAUGCCAUCAGAUGUGCCCAGAUGGGAUUAGCUAGUAGGUGGGGUAACGGCUCACCUAGGCGACGAUCCCUAGCUGGUCUGAGAGGAUGACCAGCCACACUGGAACUGAGACACGGUCCAGACUCCUACGGGAGGCAGCAGUGGGGAAUAUUGCACAAUGGGCGCAAGCCUGAUGCAGCCAUGCCGCGUGUGUGAAGAAGGCCUUCGGGUUGUAAAGCACUUUCAGCGGGGAGGAAGGCGGUGAGGUUAAUAACCUCAUCGAUUGACGUUACCCGCAGAAGAAGCACCGGCUAACUCCGUGCCAGCAGCCGCGGUAAUACGGAGGGUGCAAGCGUUAAUCGGAAUUACUGGGCGUAAAGCGCACGCAGGCGGUCUGUCAAGUCGGAUGUGAAAUCCCCGGGCUCAACCUGGGAACUGCAUUCGAAACUGGCAGGCUAGAGUCUUGUAGAGGGGGGUAGAAUUCCAGGUGUAGCGGUGAAAUGCGUAGAGAUCUGGAGGAAUACCGGUGGCGAAGGCGGCCCCCUGGACAAAGACUGACGCUCAGGUGCGAAAGCGUGGGGAGCAAACAGGAUUAGAUACCCUGGUAGUCCACGCUGUAAACGAUGUCGAUUUGGAGGUUGUGCCCUUGAGGCGUGGCUUCCGGAGCUAACGCGUUAAAUCGACCGCCUGGGGAGUACGGCCGCAAGGUUAAAACUCAAAUGAAUUGACGGGGGCCCGCACAAGCGGUGGAGCAUGUGGUUUAAUUCGAUGCAACGCGAAGAACCUUACCUGGUCUUGACAUCCACAGAACUUAGCAGAGAUGCUUUGGUGCCUUCGGGAACUGUGAGACAGGUGCUGCAUGGCUGUCGUCAGCUCGUGUUGUGAAAUGUUGGGUUAAGUCCCGCAACGAGCGCAACCCUUAUCCUUUGUUGCCAGCGGUUAGGCCGGGAACUCAAAGGAGACUGCCAGUGAUAAACUGGAGGAAGGUGGGGAUGACGUCAAGUCAUCAUGGCCCUUACGACCAGGGCUACACACGUGCUACAAUGGCAUAUACAAAGAGAAGCGACCUCGCGAGAGCAAGCGGACCUCAUAAAGUAUGUCGUAGUCCGGAUUGGAGUCUGCAACUCGACUCCAUGAAGUCGGAAUCGCUAGUAAUCGUAGAUCAGAAUGCUACGGUGAAUACGUUCCCGGGCCUUGUACACACCGCCCGUCACACCAUGGGAGUGGGUUGCAAAAGAAGUAGGUAGCUUAACCUUCGGGAGGGCGCUUACCACUUUGUGAUUCAUGACUGGGGUGAAGUCGUAACAAGGUAACCGUAGGGGAACCUGCGGUUG